CCUACGGGGAGGCAGCAGUGAGGAAUAUUGGUCAAUGGACGAGAGUCUGAACCAGCCAAGUAGCGUGAAGGAUGACUGCCCUAUGGGUUGUAAACUUCUUUUAUAUGGGAAUAAAAUGUUCCACGUGUGGGAUUUUGUAUGUACCAUAUGAAUAAGGAUCGGCUAACUCCGUGCCAGCAGCCGCGGUAAUACGGAGGAUCCUAGCGUUAUCCGUAUUGAGUGGGUUUAAAGGGGGCGUAGGUGGAUUGUUAAGUCAGUUGGGAAAGUUUGCGGGCAAACCGGAAAAUUGCAGUUGAUACUGGCAGUCUUGAGUACAGUAGAGGUGGGCGGAAUUCGGGGUGUAGCGGUGAAAUGCGUAGAUAUCACGAAGAACUCCGAUUGCGAAGGCAGUUCACUGGACUGAAACUGACACUGAGGCUCGAAAGUGUGGGUAUCAAACAGGAUUAGAUACCCGAGUAGUC
This 461-nucleotide ribosomal RNA is filed under the name uncultured bacterium. RNAcentral's name for it is "partial 16S ribosomal RNA". It matches the Rfam family "Bacterial small subunit ribosomal RNA", at positions 338 to 795 of the family's 1533-position model. The record is from RNAcentral.